AACGAACGCUGGCGGCAUGCCUAACACAUGCAAGUCGAACGAGACCUUCGGGUCUAGUGGCGCACGGGUGCGUAACGCGUGGGAACCUGCCCUUAGGUUCGGAAUAACUCCCCGAAAGGGGUGCUAAUUCCGGAUAAUGUCUUCGGACCAAAGAUUUAUCGCCUUUGGAUGGGCCCGCGUUGGAUUAGCUGGUUGGUAGGGUAAAAGCCUACCAAGGCGACGAUCCAUAGCUGGUCUGAGAGGAUGAUCAGCCACACUGGGACUGGGACACGGCCCAGACUACUACGGGAGGCAGCAGUGGGGAAUAUUGGACAAUGGGCGAAAGCCUGAUCCAGCAAGGCCGCGUGAGUGAUGAAGGUCUUAGGGUUGUAAAGCUCUUUUACCCGGGAUGAUAAUGACAGUACCGAGAGAAUAAGCUCCGGCUAACUCCGUG
This 433-nucleotide ribosomal RNA is filed under the name uncultured bacterium. Its description in RNAcentral is "partial 16S ribosomal RNA". It matches the Rfam family "Bacterial small subunit ribosomal RNA", at positions 29 to 507 of the family's 1533-position model. The record is from RNAcentral.